GUGAGGAAUUUUCCGCAAUGGGCGAAAGCCUGACGGAGCAAUGCCGCGUGAAGGAUGAAGGCCUAUGGGUUGUAAACUUCUUUUCUCAGAAAAGAAUUAUGACGGUAUCUGAGGAAUAAGCAUCGGCUAACUCUGUGCCAGCAGCCGCGGUAAGACAGAGGAUGCAAGCGUUAUCCGGAAUGAUUGGGCGUAAAGCGUCUGUAGGUUGUUUAAAAAGUAUUCUGUCAAAGAUUAGGGCUUAACCCUAGAUAGGCAGAAUAAACUUUUAAGCUAGAGUUUGGUAGAGACAGAGGGAAUUCCCGGUGGAGCGGUGAAAUGCGUAGAUAUCGGGAAGAACACCAAAGGCGAAGGCACUCUGCUGGGCCAAUACUAACACUGAGAGACGAAAGCGAGGGGAGCAAAUGGGAUUAGAAACCCGAGUAGUCC
Molecule: ribosomal RNA, 426 nt
Filed under: uncultured bacterium
Lineage: Bacteria
Description: bacterial SSU rRNA
Rfam family: Bacterial small subunit ribosomal RNA
Source: RNAcentral